AUUGAACGCUGGCGGCAUGCCUUACACAUGCAAGUCGAACGGCAGCACGGGUGCUUGCACCUGGUGGCGAGUGGCGAACGGGUGAGUAAUACAUCGGAACAUGUCCUGUAGUGGGGGAUAGCCCGGCGAAAGCCGGAUUAAUACCGCAUACGAUCUACGGAUGAAAGCGGGGGACCUUCGGGCCUCGCGCUAUAGGGUUGGCCGAUGGCUGAUUAGCUAGUUGGUGGGGUAAAGGCCUACCAGGGCGACGAUCAGUAGCUGGUCUGAGAGGACGACCAGCCACACUGGGACUGAGACACGGCCCAGACUCCUACGGGAGGCAGCAGUGGGGAAUUUUGGACAAUGGGCGAAAGCCUGAUCCAGCAAUGCCGCGUGUGUGAAGAAGGCCUUCGGGUUGUAAAGCACUUUUGUCCGGAAAGAAAUCCUUGGCCCUAAUACGGUCGGGGGAUGACGGUACCGGAAGAAUAAGCACCGGCUAACUACGUG
RNAcentral lists this ribosomal RNA (486 nucleotides) under uncultured bacterium. RNAcentral describes it as "partial 16S ribosomal RNA". It matches the Rfam family "Bacterial small subunit ribosomal RNA", at positions 30 to 507 of the family's 1533-position model. The record is from RNAcentral.